This 253-nucleotide ribosomal RNA is filed under the name uncultured bacterium. RNAcentral's name for it is "partial 16S ribosomal RNA". It matches the Rfam family "Bacterial small subunit ribosomal RNA", at positions 524 to 776 of the family's 1533-position model. The record is from RNAcentral.
AACGGAGGAGGCGAGCGUUAUCCGGAGUUACUGGGCGUAAAGCGCACGCAGGCGGCUCUGUGAGUCGGACGUGAAAGCUCUCGGCUUAACCGGGAGAGGCCGUUCGAUACUGCGGGGCUUGAGGUAGGGAGAGGAAUGCGGAAUUCCCGGUGUAGUGGUGGAAUGCGUAGAUAUCGGGAGGAACGCCUGUGGCGAAAGCGGCAUUCUGGCCCUCACCUGACGCUGAGGUGCGAAAGCGUGGGUAGCAAACAGG